This is a long non-coding RNA of Sapajus apella (tufted capuchin), 312 nucleotides long. RefSeq lists it as uncharacterized. The transcript is spliced from 2 exons. The record is from RefSeq and is a predicted model, not a curated record. Lineage: Eukaryota; Metazoa; Chordata; Mammalia; Primates; Cebidae.
UUAGUCUUAUUCCUCUACUGUUGGUCCUUCAGUUUGCUUUUCACUCUUCUAUGUAAUGCUGUAAGAAAUAACUUUUUCCAUAAACUAUUUCCCAUAUAUUGAAUGUAUAACUUAACACAUUCUAAACAUUAAUGUUAAAAAAGACAUAAAGCAUAAAAACCAAGGUAUAUAUUUGAUCAUAUAAAAAUUUAAGCUGGGCACAGUGGCUCACACCUAUAAUCCCAGCGCUUUGGGAGACCAUGGUGGGGUAGAUCGGUUGAGCUCCAAGAGUUCAAGACCAGCCUGAGCAACAUGGUGAAACCCCAUCUCUAC